CCUACGGGCGGCUGCAGUGGGGAAUAUUGGACAAUGGGGGGAACCCUGAUCCAGCCAUGCCGCGUGUGUGAAGAAGGCCCUCGGGUUGUAAAGCACUUUCAGUGAGGAAGAACGCCUGGUGGUUAAUACCCAUCAGGAAAGACAUCACUCACAGAAGAAGCACCGGCUAACUCCGUGCCAGCAGCCGCGGUAAUACGGAGGGUGCGAGCGUUAAUCGGAAUUACUGGGCGUAAAGCGCGCGUAGGUGGCUUGAUAAGCCGGUUGUGAAAGCCCCGGGCUCAACCUGGGAACGGCAUCCGGAACUGUCAAGCUAGAGUGCAGGAGAGGAAGGUAGAAUUCCCGGUGUAGCUGUGAAAUGCGUAGAGAUCGGGAGGAAUACCAGUGGCGAAGGCGGCCUUCUGGACUGACACUGACACUGAGGUGCGAAAGCGUGGGUAGCAAACAGGAUUAGAUACCCCUGUAGUC
This 465-nucleotide ribosomal RNA is filed under the name Vreelandella stevensii. RNAcentral describes it as "partial 16S ribosomal RNA". It matches the Rfam family "Bacterial small subunit ribosomal RNA", at positions 338 to 795 of the family's 1533-position model. Lineage: Bacteria; Pseudomonadati; Pseudomonadota; Gammaproteobacteria; Oceanospirillales; Halomonadaceae. The record is from RNAcentral.